Molecule: non-coding RNA, 330 nt
Organism: Notechis scutatus (mainland tiger snake)
Lineage: Eukaryota; Metazoa; Chordata; Lepidosauria; Squamata; Elapidae
Source: RefSeq, a predicted model, not a curated record
CGCAGCACACCUAGGCGGGACCGGAUGAAGGAUGGCUCUAGUUGCGCAACGCCCAGCCCGGGCUGGAUUCGCCUAGUGCCGCACGUGGUCGCCUGCCCGCAGCCCCCUCCCCAGCCCAACCAUUCGCUUUUCCCCCACCCACCCCGACCCCAGAAGAUUGCAGCCCAGCGAUCCAGACGCAUCUCUCUCGGUCUCUCUCUCUCCCUCGAUCCGGAGCGCAGCAAUUGAAGCGAAGAUGCCAAUCGGGAUGAAGGCGCCUUUGGCCAUCCUCUUGGCCGCCUGCCUCUGCGUGGACGGCGUUUUCUCCCUGGUCUUAUUGGUGUUGAGGAC